ACACAUGCAGUCGAGGGGUAACAUUUUAGCUUGCUAAAGAUGACGACCGGCGAACGGGUGCGUAACGCGUAUAGAAUCUACCUCUUACUAAGGGAUAGCCCAGAGAAAUUUGGAUUAAUAUCUUAUAGUAUGUUAACUUGGCAUCAAGACAACAUUAAAGGUUACGGUAAGAGAUGACUAUGCGUCCUAUUAGCUAGAUGGUGUGGUAACGGCACACCAUGGCGACGAUAGGUAGGGGCCCUGAGAGGGGGAUCCCCCACACUGGUACUGAGACACGGACCAGACUCCUACGGGAGGCAGCAGUGAGGAAUAUUGGACAAUGGAGGCAACUCUGAUCCAGCCAUGCCGCGUGCAGGAAGACUGCCCUAUGGGUUGUAAACUGCUUUUGUACAGGAAGAAACACUGCUACGUGUAGCAGCUUGACGGUACUGUAAGAAUAAGGAUCGGCUAACUCCGUGCCAGCAGCCGCGGUAAUACGGAGGAUCCAAGCGUUAUCCGGAAUCAUUGGGUUUAAAGGGUCCGUAGGUGGAUAAUUAAGUCAGAGGUGAAAUCCUGCAGCUCAACUGUAGAAUUGCCUUUGAUACUGGUUAUCUUGAGUUAUUAUGAAGUAGUUAGAAUAUGUAGUGUAGCGGUGAAAUGCAUAGAUAUUACAUAGAAUACCAAUUGCGAAGGCAGAUUACUAAUAAUAUACUGACACUGAUGGACGAAAGCGUGGGGAGCGAACAGGAUUAGAUACCCUGGUAGUCCACGCCGUAAACGAUGGUCACUAGCUGUUCGGACUUCGGUUUGAGUGGCUAAGCGAAAGUGAUAAGUGACC
This 817-nucleotide ribosomal RNA is filed under the name Flavobacteriaceae bacterium ACEMC 9-8. RNAcentral describes it as "bacterial SSU rRNA". It matches the Rfam family "Bacterial small subunit ribosomal RNA", at positions 51 to 869 of the family's 1533-position model. Lineage: Bacteria; Pseudomonadati; Bacteroidota; Flavobacteriia; Flavobacteriales; Flavobacteriaceae. The record is from RNAcentral.